UCAGGCCUGUAGUGUUUGUAAGCUUUUUAAUUAUGUCUAACCUUACUCUUUCCCAAAAAGGAACCUGAUUUUGACUUAUAGCUGCUGGAUCACCUUGUAGUGAAUAGCAAAAGUAUUGUCUUAAGGUACCGCCCUGCAUAUAUGCAGGUCUAGGCAUGUAGAAAGUUACGGCAUUUUGGGCCUAUA
RNAcentral lists this non-coding RNA (186 nucleotides) under Pectinatus brassicae. RNAcentral describes it as "Pectinatus sp. TY 6S / SsrS RNA". It matches the Rfam family "6S / SsrS RNA". From Rfam's summary of the family: E. coli 6S RNA was the first non coding RNA to be sequenced, but its function was unknown until recently. Lineage: Bacteria; Bacillati; Bacillota; Negativicutes; Selenomonadales; Selenomonadaceae. The record is from Rfam by way of RNAcentral.